GCCUCCUUAGCUCAAUUGGUUAGAGCAUCUGACUCUUAAUCAGAGGGUUCCAGGUUCGAGUCCCGGAGGGGGCA
This 74-nucleotide transfer RNA is filed under the name Planctomycetota bacterium. Its description in RNAcentral is "Planctomycetes bacterium (groundwater metagenome) tRNA-Lys". It matches the Rfam family "tRNA". From Rfam's summary of the family: Transfer RNA (tRNA) molecules are approximately 80 nucleotides in length. Their secondary structure includes four short double-helical elements and three loops (D, anti-codon, and T loops). Further hydrogen bonds mediate the characteristic L-shaped molecular structure. tRNAs have two regions of fundamental functional importance: the anti-codon, which is responsible for specific mRNA codon recognition, and the 3' end, to which the tRNAs corresponding amino acid is attached (by aminoacyl-tRNA synthetases). tRNAs cope with the degeneracy of the genetic code in two manners: having more than one tRNA (with a specific anti-codon) for a particular amino acid; and 'wobble' base-pairing, i.e. permitting non-standard base-pairing at the 3rd anti-codon position. The record is from RNAcentral. RNAcentral also lists the same sequence under 1 other name. Lineage: Bacteria; Pseudomonadati; Planctomycetota.